UACGUAGGGGGCGAGCGUUGUCCGGAAUCAUUGGGCGUAAAGAGCGUGUAGGCGGCUUGGCAAGUCUGACGUGAAAGCCCGCGGCUCAACCGCGGAUUGUCGUUGGAAACUGCCUCGCUAGAGUCCGGAAGAGGAGAGCGGAAUUCCUGGUGUAGCGGUGGAAUGCGCAGAUAUCAGGAAGAACACCCGUGGCGAAGGCGGCUCUCUGGGACGGUACUGACGCUGAGACGCGAGAGCGUGGGGAGCGAACAGG
Molecule: ribosomal RNA, 253 nt
Filed under: uncultured bacterium
Lineage: Bacteria
Description: partial 16S ribosomal RNA
Rfam family: Bacterial small subunit ribosomal RNA
Source: RNAcentral